GACAGAGGGUGCAAACGUUGUUCGGAAUUACUGGGCGUAAAGGGCCAGUAGGCGGCCAACUAAGUCGGAUGUGAAAUCCCCAGGCUUAACCUGGGAACUGCAUCCGAUACUGGAUGGCUUGAAUUCGGGAGAGGGAUGCAGAAUUCCAGGUGUAGCGGUGAAAUGCGUAGGUAUCUGGAGGAACACCGGUGGCGAAGGCGGCAUCCUGGACCGGCACUGACGCUGAGGAGCGAAAGCCAGGGGAGCAAACGGG
Molecule: ribosomal RNA, 253 nt
Filed under: uncultured bacterium
Lineage: Bacteria
Description: partial 16S ribosomal RNA
Rfam family: Bacterial small subunit ribosomal RNA
Source: RNAcentral